AGUGAACGCUGGCGGUAGGCCUAACACAUGCAAGUCGAACGGCAGCACAGUAAGAGCUUGCUCUUACGGGUGGCGAGUGGCGGACGGGUGAGGAAUACAUCGGAAUCUACUAUUUCGUGGGGGAUAACGUAGGGAAACUUACGCUAAUACCGCAUACGACCUACGGGUGAAAGCAGGGGAUCUUCGGACCUUGCGCGAUUGAAUGAGCCGAUGUCGGAUUAGCUAGUUGGCGGGGUAAAGGCCCACCAAGGCGACGAUCCGUAGCUGGCCUGAGAGGAGGGUCGGCGGCACUGGAAGUGAGACACGGACAAGACGCCUACGAGAGGCAGCAGAGGGGAAUAUUAGACAAUGGGGGGAAGCCUGGUCCAGCCAUACCGCGUGGGUGAAGAAGGCGUUCGGGUUGUAAAGCCCUUUUGUUGGGAAAGAAAAGCAGCAGGUUAAUACGCCGCUGGACUGACGGUAACCAAAGAAUAAGCACCGGCUAACUACGUG
This 492-nucleotide ribosomal RNA is filed under the name uncultured bacterium. RNAcentral describes it as "partial 16S ribosomal RNA". It matches the Rfam family "Bacterial small subunit ribosomal RNA", at positions 29 to 507 of the family's 1533-position model. The record is from RNAcentral.